GACGUAGGAGACGAGCGUUGUCCGGAUUUACUGGGCGUAAAGGGCGCGCAGGCGGUCGCGCGCGUCGGGCGUGAAAGCCCCCGGCUCAACCGGGGCGGGUCGUCCGAGACGGCGUGACUGGAGGGCGGCAGAGGCUGGUGGAAUUCCCGGUGUAGUGGUGAAAUGCGUAGAGAUCGGGAGGAACACCCGUGGCGAAGGCGGCCAGCUGGGCCGGCCCUGACGCUGAGGCGCGAAGGCGCGGGGAGCGAACGGG
Molecule: ribosomal RNA, 253 nt
Filed under: uncultured Sphaerobacter sp.
Lineage: Bacteria; Pseudomonadati; Thermomicrobiota; Thermomicrobia; Sphaerobacterales; Sphaerobacteraceae
Description: partial 16S ribosomal RNA
Rfam family: Bacterial small subunit ribosomal RNA
Source: RNAcentral